GGUAUGGAUAUCUGGCCAGAUAUGCCUUGCCACUAAGAGAACACCCAGCACCUUCACCCUUUGGCACUCAGAAGUAGCUGCCGAGCAGCAGUGGAGGACUGCUGUGUCUGCUGGGGUUGGGGCAGGAUGCCCCAUGGAGGAUGUAAGGCAGGGGAAGAGACGAAGGACUAAGCACCUGAGGAGCCUCAGCUUCAGUAUGAUUAUUUGCAUGAUCCAUCAGGAUGCCAAGAUUCUGCCAGUGGAGAAGAGCUUUUCUUUGUGUCUUUUCUGCAUCUGAACAAGGGGCCUAGAAACGCAGUUAAAGAAAAGGAACCCUCCUGGAAGGACUCUGUUCCCCAGAAUAUCUCUGGCUGGAAGCACAAGACUGGCCUGUUGGCAAGGGGGGACCAGCGGAGGGUGCAGAGAGAAGGACAGCAGUGACCAUCACAUACCUGGUGUGGGGCCAAGACGGGGACCAAGAAAGGCAGCACCCUUGCACUGAACAUGGCAGCAAGGGGACACUGUGGAUACUUCCCCGGUGUAGCGUCUUCCUAAGGGAAAGCGUGGUCGAACUCAGGCUUGCCUCAUCUCUCCGAGGCCCUAAUCCUAUUAUCCUUCCUCCACCAGUCACCACCUCAUCCUUCCCUUCCCUACACCCUCACCCCCCUCCGGUUCUUUUUUCUGUAAAUAACUUUCUGAUUUUGGACAAGCAGGGAUCAACAGAUUCUGGAGGGGGGCGGAGAAGACACUUGUUUUGUUUUGUUUUCCUUUCUCUCUUGAAUUUUGG
Molecule: long non-coding RNA, 766 nt
Filed under: Numida meleagris (helmeted guineafowl)
Lineage: Eukaryota; Metazoa; Chordata; Aves; Galliformes; Numididae
Description: lncRNA (ENSNMEG00000011092.1)
Source: RNAcentral